UACGUAGGGUGCGAGCGUUGUCCGGAAUUACUGGGCGUAAAGAGCUCGUAGGCGGUUUGUUGCGUCGGCUGUGAAAACCUGAGGCUCAACCUCAGGCCUGCAGUCGAUACGAGCAGACUAGAGUGUUGCAGGGGAGACUGGAAUUCCUGGUGUAGCGGUGAAAUGCGCAGAUAUCAGGAGGAACACCGGUGGCGAAGGCGGGUCUCUGGGCAACAACUGACGCUGAGGAGCGAAAGCGUGGGGAGCGAACAGG
Molecule: ribosomal RNA, 253 nt
Filed under: uncultured bacterium
Lineage: Bacteria
Description: partial 16S ribosomal RNA
Rfam family: Bacterial small subunit ribosomal RNA
Source: RNAcentral